UGGAAAUGGAGGUCAGGAGAUUCCUGCCUCACUGACAGCCAUGCCUCACACAUGGAAAGGGGGCAAUGGGAAGUACGGUUCCAGAACACAGCCUUGGAACAGACACAAACAGCAACUGGUGGAAACUCCGCACCGCUUCCCGAAGCAGAGUAAGGACUAAUAUGUACGGAAAGCCAAGUGGAAGCCACUAGAACUGUUUCUAUCUAAACAAAAACAAAAACAAAACAAACAACAAAAAAAGAAGCAGCAAAAUAAAAAGCAACACAACAUUCCCAAAGAGGUCACAGAGAUCACGCCACCAUCGAUUGACAAGCACAGAGGUUAUCUUGCAACCUAAUCUGCCCAUCUUGACCAGGGGUUGUCUGACUCCUCAAUGCAUUAAGCUGGCUGUGUACACCCGUAUUCCGUCACAAAAUGGAAGUGGCAAGGCUGAGAUCAAGGCUCAAGCAGGCCCUGAAGGGACUGAAAAGCAACAGGAGGAAGUAAUCUGCAUGUCCGUGGUAACCAUUCCCGCCACGUUGCAUUCUCUCUCCCACAGCAGCGGCCUCACAGGGCACUCACUAUGGUCACUUGACAGAGGAAGAGAAGGCUCAGGCCUGAGGUACAGGAGGUCAACCCAACAUUCAGCACCCCCUGAAAACAGCCAGCUCUAACACUACAGUCCCUUUCUGGGUCAUCCCUGAUGGACAAUGAGAAGGAAAAUCCUUCAUGUGGGCAGAAAUUCAAGCAGUGUACCUUGCUGUUCAGUUUGCUUAAAAAAAAUGGCCAGACAUAUAAAUAUAUACCAGCUCAUGGGCUGGUGUUCAAUGGGUCAGCUGGAUGGUCGGGUCUUAAAAGGAACGUAACUGGAAAAUUGGUGAUGAAGUUGGGGAAAGAAGUACACGGGCAAAACGCAUGAAGACAUUUGUGUUUCAUAUGAACACUCACCAAAGGCUGAGCUCAUCAGGACAUGCUAUCACUAAUCAAGUCGACAAGAUGACUUGUUCUGUGGCUAUCGGUCAUACUCUCCCCCCAGACACCCCAUCAUCACCCAAUGGGGUCAUGAACAUGUGCCAAGAUGGAAGUUAUUCAUUGGCUCAGUGAAAUCAACUGCUCACCAAGGCAUAUCUGGCUCAGUGAAAUCAACUGCUCACCAAGGCAUAUCUGGCCAGAGUCACUUCUGAGUGCUCAAUCCGCCAGCAACACAGAACACUGAAUCCUGCUAGGUCGUCAUCCCCUGGGUGAUCACCUGGCUACCUGAUGCUGGUUGAGUGCACUGGCCUACCUCCAUCAUGGAAAUGGAAGUGUUUUGUGCUUACUAGAAUACACUCUAGGUGCAGAUGUGCCUCUUCUACUUGCCUUACUUCUGC
This is a long non-coding RNA of Tupaia belangeri chinensis (Chinese tree shrew), 1349 nucleotides long. RefSeq lists it as uncharacterized. The transcript is spliced from 3 exons. Lineage: Eukaryota; Metazoa; Chordata; Mammalia; Scandentia; Tupaiidae. The record is from RefSeq and is a predicted model, not a curated record.